CAACAUGUACAUGUGGCAGGGCCAAAUUGAACUUGUAGUUUUUACUGUAUUGCUUUUAGUGUUUAGGUAUAGGUGUAGCUCCCCUGAAUAAAUCACCCCUUUUUAUUAGAUGUCCCCUACCCUUUCAUAGAAGUGUGUACCCCUGAUUAACUUUUCCCUCUUCCCCAGUAACAUGACCCCUUAGAACAUAGCCCCUUUGAUAAGACCCUGUAAGUCCACAGCCCCUCACUUAGCAGACCAGCGGCAGUAGAGAGAGGACUGUGUAUUAUAUAUCCACUCUUCCCCUUUUCUUGGGAGCGCCUGCCCUGUGUGUUUAUCUGCUCAAGUCACAUCCUGGUUUCAGUCAGAGUGCAUUUAAGGUCCAUUAUUUUGACGCUCUGUGUUGGUUUUUCUUUUCGUCUUCUUUAGUUUUUUUAGGUUGGGUUUAUUUACUUUUCAUUUCCAAUUACUUUUUGUUUCCAAUUUGAUUUUUUUUUCCAAAGUUAUUAAUUUCUGGUUUUGUUUUCCCAAAAGGUUUUUUUUUUGUCACAUUUCAAGGUGUUUUUGUGUGAAUGUAAAACUUGCAGUUAAUCGUGGAUUAAAUUGUUUUUUUGUAAAGUUCCAUCCCAAUUCAGUCUGUCUCUUUUCUUUUUUUUAAAUUUGUCCCAGUUUUCUAUUAAAUUUUUCGCGACUUAUCAAUUUGAA
Long non-coding RNA from Patiria miniata (bat star), 684 nucleotides. RefSeq lists it as uncharacterized. The record is from RefSeq and is a predicted model, not a curated record. NCBI's taxonomy places the organism in Eukaryota, Metazoa, Echinodermata, Asteroidea, Valvatida, Asterinidae. The transcript has 2 exons.